RNAcentral lists this transfer RNA (61 nucleotides) under Ictidomys tridecemlineatus (thirteen-lined ground squirrel). Its description in RNAcentral is "Spermophilus tridecemlineatus (thirteen-lined ground squirrel) tRNA". It matches the Rfam family "tRNA", at positions 6 to 65 of the family's 71-position model. From Rfam's summary of the family: Transfer RNA (tRNA) molecules are approximately 80 nucleotides in length. Their secondary structure includes four short double-helical elements and three loops (D, anti-codon, and T loops). The record is from Rfam by way of RNAcentral. Lineage: Eukaryota; Metazoa; Chordata; Mammalia; Rodentia; Sciuridae.
UAUAGCUCAGUUGGUAGAGUGCUUGCCGCACAUGCAUGAGGUCUGGGUUCAAUCCCCAGUA